GUCGGUUUUCAUGUACAUUUUACUUCCUUCUUUUUGAAUUUGCCUUAGAGUUCGGUAUUUUUUUUAAUUCUUUUUUUAUUUUCUAUAAAAGAGUCGACUGUGGACCCUUAGCUCAUUGGUCAUUAUUUCUAACAUACCUUUCAUACAUUAUCUGCUCAUAAACUAUUAAGGACUUAAGGUUUUAAAUCCCUCUAGUACAUUUUAUCUUAUGUAGGUUUUGGUCCUAUUCCCUGUAUGGCCGUUU
This 244-nucleotide long non-coding RNA is filed under the name Mytilus galloprovincialis (Mediterranean mussel). Lineage: Eukaryota; Metazoa; Mollusca; Bivalvia; Mytilida; Mytilidae. The record is from RNAcentral.